RNAcentral lists this transfer RNA (83 nucleotides) under Clostridiales bacterium. RNAcentral's name for it is "tRNA-Leu". It matches the Rfam family "tRNA". Rfam says of the family: Transfer RNA (tRNA) molecules are approximately 80 nucleotides in length. Lineage: Bacteria; Bacillati; Bacillota; Clostridia; Eubacteriales. RNAcentral also lists the same sequence under 2 other names. The record is from RNAcentral.
GCGGCGGUGGCGGAAUUGGCAGACGCGCACGUUUGAGGGGCGUGUGGGCGACCAUACGGGUUCAAGUCCCGUUCGCCGCACCA